CCGUAAACGCUGAGUACUAAGUGUUGGACGAGAAGUUCAGUGCUGUAGUUAACGCAAUAAGUACUCCGCCUGAGUAGUACGUUCGCAAGAAUGAAACUCAAAGGAAUUGACGGGGGCCCGCACAAGCGGUGGAGCAUGUGGUUUAAUUCGAAGCAACGCGAAGAACCUUACCAGGUCUUGACAUACGGAUAAAGGCCCCAGAGAUGGGGAGAUAGUUAUAUCCGAUACAGGUGGUGCAUGGUUGUCGUCAGCUCGUGUCGUGAGAUGUUGGGUUAAGUCCCGCAACGAGCGCAACCCUUGUCGUUAGUUACCAUCAUUAAGUUGGGGACUCUAGCGAGACAGCCAGUGACAAACUGGAGGAAGGCGGGGAUGACGUCAAAUCAUCAUGCCCCUUAUGACCUGGGCUACACACGUGCUACAAUGGACGGACCAGAGGGAAGCAAACUUGUGAGAGUAAGCAAAACCCAAAAAGCCGUUCUCAGUUCGGAUUGUAGUCUGCAACUCGAGUACAUGAAGAUGGAAUCGCUAGUAAUCGCGAAUCAGAAUGUCGCGGUGAAUACGUUCUCGGGCCUUGUACACACCGCCCGUCACACCACGAGAGUCGAUAACACCCGAAGCCGGUGUCCUAACCCUUUAUAGGGAGGGAGCUGUCUAAGGUGGGAUGGAUGAUUGGGGUGAAGUCGUAACAAGGUAACCGUA
RNAcentral lists this ribosomal RNA (699 nucleotides) under uncultured Bacillota bacterium. RNAcentral's name for it is "bacterial SSU rRNA". It matches the Rfam family "Bacterial small subunit ribosomal RNA", at positions 800 to 1504 of the family's 1533-position model. The record is from RNAcentral. Lineage: Bacteria; Bacillati; Bacillota.